GACGGGCCCGCACAAGCAGCGGAGCGUGUGGUUUAAUUCGAUGCUACACGAAGAACCUUACCAGGGUUUGACAUACAAGUAGUAGGGAAAGGAAACUGGACCGACCCUUCGGGGAGCUUGUACAGGUGCUGCAUGGCUGUCGUCAGCUCGUGUCGUGAGAUGUUCGGUUAAGUCCGCUAACGAGCGCAACCCUCGCUGUGUGUUACAAGUGUCACACGGAACUGCCGGUCAUAAAAACGGAGGAAGGUGGGAUGACGUCAAAUCAUCAUGCCCCUUAUGUUCUGGGCUACACACGUGCUACAAUGGCCGGUACAGACGGACGCAAAGCCGCGAGGCGGAGCAAAUCCGAAAAAGCCGGUCUCAGUUCGGAUUGCAGGCUGCAAUUCGCCUGCAUGAAGUCGGAAUCGCUAGUAAUCGCAGGUCAGCAUACUGCGGUGAAUACGUUCCCGGGCCUU
RNAcentral lists this ribosomal RNA (455 nucleotides) under uncultured Anaerolineaceae bacterium. RNAcentral describes it as "bacterial SSU rRNA". It matches the Rfam family "Bacterial small subunit ribosomal RNA", at positions 917 to 1381 of the family's 1533-position model. The record is from RNAcentral. Lineage: Bacteria; Bacillati; Chloroflexota; Anaerolineae; Anaerolineales; Anaerolineaceae.